UAAGAUAAUGAUUAAUAGGGACAGUUGGGGGCAUUCGUAUUAACACGUCAGAGGUGGAAUUCUUGGAUUGUGUUACGACAAACUACUGCGAAAGCAUUUGCCAAGGAUGUUUUCAUUGAUCAAGAACGAAAGUGAGGGGAUCGAAGACGAUCAGAUACCGUCGUAGUCUUAACCAUAAACUAUGCCGACUAGAGAUUGGAGGUCGUUAUCUAUACGACUCCUUCAGCACCUUAUGAGAAAUCAAAGUCUUUGGGUUCCGGGGGGAGUAUGGUCGCAAGGCUGAAACUUAAAGGAAUUGGCGGGGGAGCACCGCAACCUGAGGAUUGUGCGGUUUAAUUGGAUUCAACGCCGGAAAACUCACCAGAGCCGACGGACAAAUGAAAGCCAGUGUGAUGAGCUUGCUGGAUUGUUCGAGAGGUAGUGCAUGGCCGUCGUCAGUUCGUACCGUAAGGCGUUCUGUUAAGUCAGAUAACGAACGAGACCCUCAUCCCUAUUUGCUAAGGUUACUCCGGUAAUCACAGGACUAUAGGGAGACCGCUGGCGCGAAGUCAGAGGAAGGCGAGGGCAACGGUAGGUCAGUAUGCUCCGAAUGCUCUGGGCUACACGCGCAAUACAAAGGACGGGACAAUGGGCCGCUGUACCGAAAGGACUCGGCUAUCCCGAAACCCGUUCGUAGUUCGGAUUGAGGGCUGUAACUCGCCCUCAUGAAGCUGGAUUAGGUAGUAAUCGCGUCUCAAAAAGGCGCGGUGAAUAUGCCCCUGCUCCUUGCACACACCGCCCGUCAAACCAUCUUAGUUGGGGGUGGGUGAGGCUGCCUCUCUUUCGAGAUGUGGUAUUCGAGCCUGCCUUCGACAAGGAGGGUUAAGUCGUAACAAGGUAUCUGUAGGGGAACCUGCAGAUGGAUCACCUCCU
Molecule: ribosomal RNA, 912 nt
Filed under: Candidatus Thalassarchaeaceae archaeon
Lineage: Archaea; Methanobacteriati; Thermoplasmatota; Candidatus Poseidoniia; Candidatus Poseidoniales; Candidatus Thalassarchaeaceae
Description: bacterial SSU rRNA
Rfam family: Eukaryotic small subunit ribosomal RNA
Source: RNAcentral